This 1544-nucleotide ribosomal RNA is filed under the name Salmonella enterica subsp. enterica serovar Bareilly str. ATCC 9115. RNAcentral's name for it is "bacterial SSU rRNA". It matches the Rfam family "Bacterial small subunit ribosomal RNA". Lineage: Bacteria; Pseudomonadati; Pseudomonadota; Gammaproteobacteria; Enterobacterales; Enterobacteriaceae. The record is from RNAcentral.
AAAUUGAAGAGUUUGAUCAUGGCUCAGAUUGAACGCUGGCGGCAGGCCUAACACAUGCAAGUCGAACGGUAACAGGAAGCAGCUUGCUGCUUUGCUGACGAGUGGCGGACGGGUGAGUAAUGUCUGGGAAACUGCCUGAUGGAGGGGGAUAACUACUGGAAACGGUGGCUAAUACCGCAUAACGUCGCAAGACCAAAGAGGGGGACCUUCGGGCCUCUUGCCAUCAGAUGUGCCCAGAUGGGAUUAGCUAGUUGGUGAGGUAACGGCUCACCAAGGCGACGAUCCCUAGCUGGUCUGAGAGGAUGACCAGCCACACUGGAACUGAGACACGGUCCAGACUCCUACGGGAGGCAGCAGUGGGGAAUAUUGCACAAUGGGCGCAAGCCUGAUGCAGCCAUGCCGCGUGUAUGAAGAAGGCCUUCGGGUUGUAAAGUACUUUCAGCGGGGAGGAAGGUGUUGUGGUUAAUAACCGCAGCAAUUGACGUUACCCGCAGAAGAAGCACCGGCUAACUCCGUGCCAGCAGCCGCGGUAAUACGGAGGGUGCAAGCGUUAAUCGGAAUUACUGGGCGUAAAGCGCACGCAGGCGGUCUGUCAAGUCGGAUGUGAAAUCCCCGGGCUCAACCUGGGAACUGCAUUCGAAACUGGCAGGCUUGAGUCUUGUAGAGGGGGGUAGAAUUCCAGGUGUAGCGGUGAAAUGCGUAGAGAUCUGGAGGAAUACCGGUGGCGAAGGCGGCCCCCUGGACAAAGACUGACGCUCAGGUGCGAAAGCGUGGGGAGCAAACAGGAUUAGAUACCCUGGUAGUCCACGCCGUAAACGAUGUCUACUUGGAGGUUGUGCCCUUGAGGCGUGGCUUCCGGAGCUAACGCGUUAAGUAGACCGCCUGGGGAGUACGGCCGCAAGGUUAAAACUCAAAUGAAUUGACGGGGGCCCGCACAAGCGGUGGAGCAUGUGGUUUAAUUCGAUGCAACGCGAAGAACCUUACCUGGUCUUGACAUCCACAGAACUUUCCAGAGAUGGAUUGGUGCCUUCGGGAACUGUGAGACAGGUGCUGCAUGGCUGUCGUCAGCUCGUGUUGUGAAAUGUUGGGUUAAGUCCCGCAACGAGCGCAACCCUUAUCCUUUGUUGCCAGCGGUUAGGCCGGGAACUCAAAGGAGACUGCCAGUGAUAAACUGGAGGAAGGUGGGGAUGACGUCAAGUCAUCAUGGCCCUUACGACCAGGGCUACACACGUGCUACAAUGGCGCAUACAAAGAGAAGCGACCUCGCGAGAGCAAGCGGACCUCAUAAAGUGCGUCGUAGUCCGGAUUGGAGUCUGCAACUCGACUCCAUGAAGUCGGAAUCGCUAGUAAUCGUGGAUCAGAAUGCCACGGUGAAUACGUUCCCGGGCCUUGUACACACCGCCCGUCACACCAUGGGAGUGGGUUGCAAAAGAAGUAGGUAGCUUAACCUUCGGGAGGGCGCUUACCACUUUGUGAUUCAUGACUGGGGUGAAGUCGUAACAAGGUAACCGUAGGGGAACCUGCGGUUGGAUCACCUCCUUACC